UGUGCCCUGGAGCCAUGAGCAGCUCUCAGUGCCCGCAGAGCCACCGGAGCAGCCUCCCAGCCACAGCCCCCCGGCACUCUUAGGCUUCCCUGCCCCCCUGGAAGGUGCUCAUCGCUGGCCAGGAGAACAGGCUGCACCUGCACCCAGCCUCCUGCAUCCCUCAAGGUUCCUUGCCUCACCAGCAGGUCCUUGUAGGAUUUCAGCUCUGUGCAUGAGUGGAAAGCAGAGGAGAGGCCAAAGCCCAGUGCACACCUGGCAUCUGAUCCCCCAGCAUCCUGCCUUCAUCUGACCCAGGUAGGUGCACCUGAGCUCGGAGCACUGCUGCAUGUG
This 330-nucleotide long non-coding RNA is filed under the name Serinus canaria (Common canary). Its description in RNAcentral is "lncRNA (ENSSCAG00000012818.1)". The record is from RNAcentral. Lineage: Eukaryota; Metazoa; Chordata; Aves; Passeriformes; Fringillidae.